RNAcentral lists this transfer RNA (71 nucleotides) under Podarcis lilfordi (Lilford's wall lizard). Its description in RNAcentral is "tRNA.Thr". It matches the Rfam family "tRNA". From Rfam's summary of the family: Transfer RNA (tRNA) molecules are approximately 80 nucleotides in length. Their secondary structure includes four short double-helical elements and three loops (D, anti-codon, and T loops). Further hydrogen bonds mediate the characteristic L-shaped molecular structure. tRNAs have two regions of fundamental functional importance: the anti-codon, which is responsible for specific mRNA codon recognition, and the 3' end, to which the tRNAs corresponding amino acid is attached (by aminoacyl-tRNA synthetases). tRNAs cope with the degeneracy of the genetic code in two manners: having more than one tRNA (with a specific anti-codon) for a particular amino acid; and 'wobble' base-pairing, i.e. permitting non-standard base-pairing at the 3rd anti-codon position. The record is from RNAcentral. Lineage: Eukaryota; Metazoa; Chordata; Lepidosauria; Squamata; Lacertidae.
GAGUGUGGUGUAGUGGUUAAGAGCGGUAGAUUUGUAAUCUGGUGAACUGGGUUCAAUUCCCUGCUCCUCCA